CGGCGGGUGAGUAAUGUCUGGGAAACUGCCCGAUGGAGGGGGAUAACUACUGGAAACGGUAGCUAAUACCGCAUAACGUCGCAAGACCAAGAGGGGGACCUUCGGGCCUCUUGCCAUCGGAUGUGCCCAGAUGGGAUUAGCUAGUAGGUGGGGUAACGGCUCACCUAGGCGACGAUCCCUAGCUGGUCUGAGAGGAUGACCAGCCACACUGGAACUGAGACACGGUCCAG
Molecule: ribosomal RNA, 230 nt
Filed under: uncultured bacterium
Lineage: Bacteria
Description: partial 16S ribosomal RNA
Rfam family: Bacterial small subunit ribosomal RNA
Source: RNAcentral